Molecule: ribosomal RNA, 534 nt
Filed under: Clonostachys sp. AX50
Lineage: Eukaryota; Fungi; Ascomycota; Sordariomycetes; Hypocreales; Bionectriaceae
Description: eukaryotic LSU rRNA
Rfam family: 5.8S ribosomal RNA (bases 199-352)
Source: RNAcentral
CGUAACAAGGUCUCCGUUGGUGAACCAGCGGAGGGAUCAUUACCGAGUUUACAACUCCCAAACCCAUGUGAACAUACCUAUUGUUGCUUCGGCGGGAUUGCCCCGGGCGCCUCGUGUGCCCCGGAUCAGGCGCCCGCCUAGGAACUUUAACUCUUGUUUUAUUUUGAAUCUUCUGAGUAGUUUUUACAAAUAAAUAAAAACUUUCAACAACGGAUCUCUUGGUUCUGGCAUCGAUGAAGAACGCAGCGAAAUGCGAUAAGUAAUGUGAAUUGCAGAAUUCAGUGAAUCAUCGAAUCUUUGAACGCACAUUGCGCCCGCCAGUAUUCUGGCGGGCAUGCCUGUCUGAGCGUCAUUUCAACCCUCAUGCCCCUAGGGCGUGGUGUUGGGGAUCGGCCAAAGCCCGCGAGGGACGGCCGGCCCCUAAAUCUAGUGGCGGACCCGUCGUGGCCUCCUCUGCGAAGUAGUGAUAUUCCGCAUCGGAGAGCGACGAGCCCCUGCCGUUAAACCCCCAACUUCCAAGGUGACCUCAGAUCA